RNAcentral lists this ribosomal RNA (107 nucleotides) under uncultured bacterium. RNAcentral's name for it is "partial 16S ribosomal RNA". It matches the Rfam family "Bacterial small subunit ribosomal RNA", at positions 1379 to 1482 of the family's 1533-position model. The record is from RNAcentral.
CCUUGUACACACCGCCCCGUCACACCAUGGGAGUUGUUUGGACCCGAAGCCGCCUGGCCAACCCGCAAGGGAAGUAAGCGUCUAAGGUCUGGACAGUGACUGGGGUG